GACGAACGCUGGCGGCGUGCCUAAUACAUGCAAGUAGAACGCUGAAGGAGGAGCUUGCUUCUCUGGAUGAGUUGCGAACGGGUGAGUAACGCGUAGGUAACCUGCCCGGUAGCGGGGGAUAACUAUUGGAAACGAUAGCUAAUACCGCAUAAAGUGGAUGUUGCAUGACAUUUGCUUAAAAGGUGCACUUGCAUCACUACCAGAUGGACCUGCGUUGUAUUAGCUAGUUGGUGGGGUAACGGCUCACCAAGGCGACGAUACAUAGCCGACCUGAGAGGGUGAUCGGCCACACUGGGACUGAGACACGGCCCAGACUCCUACGGGAGGCAGCAGUAGCUAAUCUUCGGCAAUGGACGGAAGUCUGACCUGAGCAACGCCGCGUGAGUGAAGAAGGUUUUCGGAUCGUAAAGCUCUGUUGUAAGAGAAGAACGAGUGUGAGAGU
This 442-nucleotide ribosomal RNA is filed under the name Streptococcus pneumoniae. RNAcentral describes it as "bacterial SSU rRNA". It matches the Rfam family "Bacterial small subunit ribosomal RNA", at positions 28 to 462 of the family's 1533-position model. The record is from RNAcentral. Lineage: Bacteria; Bacillati; Bacillota; Bacilli; Lactobacillales; Streptococcaceae.